RNAcentral lists this non-coding RNA (46 nucleotides) under Schistosoma mansoni. Lineage: Eukaryota; Metazoa; Platyhelminthes; Trematoda; Strigeidida; Schistosomatidae. The record is from RNAcentral.
CCACUGCUGACGAGUCCCAUACUAGGACGAACCGGCCGUCCAGUGC